RNAcentral lists this long non-coding RNA (1030 nucleotides) under Carassius auratus (goldfish). RNAcentral describes it as "lncRNA (ENSCARG00000041427.1)". The record is from RNAcentral. Lineage: Eukaryota; Metazoa; Chordata; Actinopteri; Cypriniformes; Cyprinidae.
UAUAACUAUAAUGCAUAAACUAUAAAAUUAUACAAAAAGUAUAAAAAAGUACAACAGUUAUUCUUUUCCAAUGUUUUUUUUUUUUUUUUUUUUUUUUGGAUUUACAUUUAAAAAAAUAGCCUACUGCAAUCAUUCUAAACAGCUUGAAUAAAACCUGUUAAUAUUUAUUAUAGACCACUGUAACGGUGUAUAAUUAGGGCUGUCAAAUGAUUAACAUUUUUAAUCAAAUUAAUCAGAAUUUUCAGUGGAUUAAUCAUGAUUAAUCACUAUUUGCAAAUACACCUGAAUCCUAACCAUUUUAUUUUUCUGAAAUGCGUACAAAACGAUAAAUAACAGGACACAGAUACAUAAUUUUCAUGUAUUGAUUCAUCAAUAUGUGGUUCUUUUUUUCUGAAUUUCAAAAGUUUAACAUUUACUUAAUCAAAUUUACCUGACCACUGUAUCAAACCAUGCCAUUUAACUACAGAUAGUGUAAGAGUUUUAGGUGAACCAGUGGUUAAAUAUAGCCACAUAUCUAUGAAAUUAUGCAUAGAGAAACUCGAAAGAAUGAACUCAGAAACACAAACAUGCGCCCUCUGUACUCUGGGCACUCUUGUUUUUAGGAGGUGUUCAUUUGCUCUGCCACAAUUCUUUAGGAUCGAUAUUUUUCUGAAGGCUUCAAGUGCCAGUAAAACCAAGUAAAAAUGCAUAUGCUUUUCCAAACAGCUGUAAUUGCAUGUAGGCUUUCUGAAACACAGGACGCUAUAACAGGAAUACGCUCCAGCGUAUCAACUACCAAAGUCGUCCUUGUUUAUCGAGCUUGGCAUGAAUGUAUUUGAGAGUAACUGGGGUAAAACCUUAAGCUUCUUCGGUGUUUUCGUCGCGGCGCUCGACGCUGUUUUUUACUAUCUUGAGAAUUCAGAGAUCGACGAGACUUUCCUGACCUGAAUAAUUUGUCACACUGUGCAUGCGUGAAAUUUGUUAAAAAAACCUGACGUAAUUAACAACAAACAACUAAUUAACGUUGUUAGCGUGCUAUUUUUGACAGCCC